AUUGAACGCUGGCGGCAGGCCUAACACAUGCAAGUCGAGCGGCUGAAGGGAGCUUGCUCCUGGAUUCAGCGGCGGACGGGUGUGUAAUGCCUAGGAAUCUGCCUUGUAGUGUGGGAUAACGUCCGGAAACGGGCGCUAAUACCGCAUACGUCCUGAGGGAGAAAGUGGGGGUUCUUCGGACCUCACGCUAUCCGAUGAGCCUAGGUCGGAUUAGCUAGUUGGUGGGGUAAAGGCCUACCAAGGCGACGAUCCGUAACUGGUCUGAGAGGAUGAUCGGUCACACUGGAACUGAGACGCGGUCCAAACUCCUACGGGAGGCAGCAGUGGGGAAUAUUGGACAAUGGGCGAAAGCCUGAUCCAGCCAUGCCGCGUGUGUGAAGAAGGUCUUCGGAUUGUAAAGCACUUGAAGUUGGGGGGGAGGGAAGUAAGUUAGCACCUUGCUGUCUUGACGUUACCAACAGAAUAAGCACCGGCUAACUACGUG
Molecule: ribosomal RNA, 484 nt
Filed under: uncultured bacterium
Lineage: Bacteria
Description: partial 16S ribosomal RNA
Rfam family: Bacterial small subunit ribosomal RNA
Source: RNAcentral